CCCUUAGAUGUCCUGGGCUGCACGCGUGCUACACUGAGUGGAUCAGCGGGUCAGGUUGCGCGAAAGCGUUUCCUAAUCUUUAAAUCCGCUCGUGAUGGGGAUUGACGGUUGCAAUUUUCUGUCAUGAACGAGGAAUACCUUGUAAGCGCGGGUCAUCAUCCCGCGCUGAAUACGUCCCUGCCCUUUGUACACACCGCCCGUCGCUCCUACCGAUUGAGUGGUCCGGUGAGGCUUUGGGAUCUGAGCGGAAAGAGCGUUUCGCUGUUUCUGCUCGGAAAACUCAGUCGAACCUUAUCAUUUAGAGGAAGGAGAAGUCGUAACA
Molecule: ribosomal RNA, 322 nt
Filed under: uncultured eukaryote
Lineage: Eukaryota
Description: partial 18S ribosomal RNA
Rfam family: Eukaryotic small subunit ribosomal RNA
Source: RNAcentral